Humulus lupulus (European hop) is the source of this 264-nucleotide long non-coding RNA. RefSeq lists it as uncharacterized. The transcript has 3 exons. The record is from RefSeq and is a predicted model, not a curated record. NCBI's taxonomy places the organism in Eukaryota, Viridiplantae, Streptophyta, Magnoliopsida, Rosales, Cannabaceae.
UAUAUUUUAAUUGUCAGCUCCUCAGGAAAUAGAUGAGUAUGAGCUCGUUGAUCCUGUUCAUAUAUUGGCUCCUUUGGAGAAGUCUGGAUUUUGGGAUGGAGUGAAAGCAACCAAGUGGUCAGAACGGAAAGAGGCUGUUGCAGAGCUAACCAAGCUUGCUUCAACAAAAAGAAUAGCACCCGGUGAUUUCUCAGAAAUCUGUCGGACACUAAAAAAGCUCAUAACAGAUGUUAAUAUCGCUGUAGCAGUCGAGGCAAUUCAAGC